Molecule: small RNA, 969 nt
Filed under: Pan troglodytes (chimpanzee)
Lineage: Eukaryota; Metazoa; Chordata; Mammalia; Primates; Hominidae
Description: retained intron
Source: RNAcentral
ACCAUCUCCCACUCCUGCAGCUCUUCUCACAGGACCAGCCACUAGCGCAGCCUCGAGCGAUGGCCUAUGUCCCCGCACCGGGCUACCAGCCCACCUACAACCCGACGCUGCCUUACUACCAGCCCAUCCCGGGCGGGCUCAACGUGGGAAUGUCUGUUUACAUCCAAGGAGUGGCCAGCGAGCACAUGAAGCGGUUCUUCGUGAACUUUGUGGUUGGGCAGGAUCCGGGCUCAGACAUCGCCUUCCACUUCAAUCCGCGGUUUGACGGCUGGGACAAGGUGGUCUUCAACACGUUGCAGGGCGGGAAGUGGGGCAGCGAGGAGAGGAAGAGGAGCAUGCCCUUCAAAAAGGGUGCCGCCUUCGAGCUGGUCUUCAUAGUCCUGGCUGAGCACUACAAGGUGGUGGUAAAUGGAAAUCCCUUCUAUGAGUACGGGCACCGGCUUCCCCUACAGAUGGUCACCCACCUGCAAGUGGAUGGGGAUCUGCAACUUCAAUCAAUCAACUUCAUCGGAGGCCAGCCCCCCCGGCCCCAGGGACCCCCGAUGAUGCCACCUUACCCUGUAAGUACUUGCUGAUGGGUGAGGGUCUUCCCCCCUAGUGGGGUCCCUCAGCCCCUCUCACCUUUCCUGCUUUCCAUCCAUCGUUCAGGGUCCCGGACAUUGCCAUCAACAGCUGAACAGCCUGCCCGUGAGUGGGAGGGCUGGGAGGGCCCUGGGUGGGGAGUGGGAAUGGUGAGAAUUGGGGUAGGGGGAGCUAAGAGGGGUUGCAGCCCAAGGUGUACUAACCCAGCACCUAGAGAAACGCCGGAGUCUAAUGGGUGUGUCAUAGAUAUCUGUCGACUCUUGGAGAAUAAUAUCGCUUCUUCCUCACUUCACAGACCAUGGAAGGACCCCCAACCUUCAACCCGCCUGUGCCAUAUUUCGGGAGGCUGCAAGGAGGGCUCACAGCUCGAAGAACCAUCAUAAUCAA